ACUCCAGUCGCACAGUUGGUAGUGCAACGGACUCUUAAUCCGUGAGGACGUGGGUUCAAGUCCCACCUGGAGUA
RNAcentral lists this transfer RNA (74 nucleotides) under Streptomyces phage JXY1. It matches the Rfam family "tRNA". From Rfam's summary of the family: Transfer RNA (tRNA) molecules are approximately 80 nucleotides in length. Their secondary structure includes four short double-helical elements and three loops (D, anti-codon, and T loops). Lineage: Duplodnaviria; Heunggongvirae; Uroviricota; Caudoviricetes. The record is from Rfam by way of RNAcentral.